Molecule: small nucleolar RNA, 81 nt
Filed under: Yarrowia lipolytica
Lineage: Eukaryota; Fungi; Ascomycota; Dipodascomycetes; Dipodascales
Description: Small nucleolar RNA R38
Rfam family: Small nucleolar RNA R38
About the family: snoR38 is a C/D box small nucleolar RNA conserved across yeast, human, Arabidopsis and rice. It is encoded in the intron of elongation factor-1 gamma in both pombe and cerevisiae. snoR38 guides the methylation of 2'-O-ribose sites in 28S rRNA.
Source: Rfam by way of RNAcentral
GCAAAAUGAUGAAACAUUUUUUUUAAACAGUUAUCCCUGUCUAAAUAACUUUCGUGUUGAGAAAUGGUACCUGACAUUUAC